CCUACGGGAGGCAGCAGUGGGGAAUAUUGGACAAUGGGGGCAACCCUGAUCCAGCCAUGCCGCGUGUGUGAAGAAGGCCCUCGGGUUGUAAAGCACUUUCAGUGAGGAAGAACGCCUGGUGGUUAAUACCCAUCAGGAAAGACAUCACUCACAGAAGAAGCACCGGCUAACUCCGUGCCAGCAGCCGCGGUAAUACGGAGGGUGCGAGCAUUAAUCGGAAUUACUGGGCGUAAAGCGCGCGUAGGUGGCUUGAUAAGCCGGUUGUGAAAGCCCCGGGCUCAACCUGGGAACGGCAUCCGGAACUGUCAAGCUAGAGUGCAGGAGAGGAAGGUAGAAUUCCCGGUGUAGCGGUGAAAUGCGUAGAGAUCGGGAGGAAUACCAGUGGCGAAGGCGGCCUUCUGGACUGACACUGACACUGAGGUGCGAAAGCGUGGGUAGCAAACAGGAUUAGAUACCCUAGUAGUC
This 465-nucleotide ribosomal RNA is filed under the name Vreelandella stevensii. RNAcentral's name for it is "partial 16S ribosomal RNA". It matches the Rfam family "Bacterial small subunit ribosomal RNA", at positions 338 to 795 of the family's 1533-position model. The record is from RNAcentral. Lineage: Bacteria; Pseudomonadati; Pseudomonadota; Gammaproteobacteria; Oceanospirillales; Halomonadaceae.